CACGUUAUCAUUAAAACGGCCGUGCACGCGUGCGUGUGCGAGCGAUGCGUGUUGUGUGUGCGUGUGUGUGUGUGUGGAAUACCUAGUAUAAUAUAUUAUUAUUCCAUACUGGCCAUAUUCAGAGGACGCGACCGCGCCGCGCAUUUUGUCGUCUCCGUGUCUUACGAAUUCGCGCACCGCGAAACUGUGCCGGUUUCAAAUGUUUCGGCGUUGGAGCCAGUGGCGGAUUCAAGGAGGGGCCAAGAGGGCCCGCCCCUCGCCCCUUGACAGUUUAAUUAUAAUUGUGUAGUUGUAAUAAUAUGAGUAAUGAAUAAUGAUUGUUAUAAAUCGUCGUU
This is a non-coding RNA of Cinara cedri, 335 nucleotides long. The record is from the annotation of a GenBank genome assembly. NCBI's taxonomy places the organism in Eukaryota, Metazoa, Arthropoda, Insecta, Hemiptera, Aphididae.